AGCCAAUGAGGGGUGAGAGCUUGGUGAGCAAGCACCAAUGAGGCCACUUUUUCAUCUGUAUAAAACUUUUCAGGAGAGUUUGCUGGGUUGCACUUUCUGUCAGUCCAGGGCUCCGAAAGGAGAGCAACAGCCCAGAGAGAGAGAAAGAGAGAGAGAGAGAGAGAGAGGGGGUAGAGAGAGAGUAAGUGUGAACGCAGGGGGUUGCCAGUUUUUAAACCCUAAUACCACACUUCAAGAAAGUGCCUCUCCGUUUCAGCAAGGAUGGAGAACGCACACAUGAAAGAGUCACCAGAGGUUCUGUCCUACUUUGGUGUCACUGAAGAAACCGGCCUUUCCCCUGAGCAGUUCAAGAAGAACCUGGAAAAGUAUGGCUUCAACGAGCUGCCAGCGGAGGAGGGAAAGACUAUCUGGGAGUUGGUGGUGGAACAGUUCGAGGACCUGUUGGUCAGAAUCUUACUGCUGGCCGCCUGCAUCUCUUUUGUACUGGCUUUGUUCGAGGAAGGUGAGGAGACCGUCACUGCCUUUGUCGAGCCCUUAGUCAUCCUCCUCAUCCUCAUUGCAAAUGCUAUCGUUGGAGUGUGGCAGGAGCGCAAUGCAGAGAGUGCCAUUGAGGCUCUGAAGGAAUACGAGCCUGAGAUGGGGAAAGUUUACCGGUCGGACAGGAAGAGCGUGCAGAGAAUCAAGGCCAGGGAGAUUGUUCCUGGUGAUGUGGUGGAGGUUUCCGUUGGUGACAAAGUGCCAGCUGACAUCAGGCUUAUCUCCAUCAAAUCUACAACCCUGCGUGUGGACCAGUCUAUUCUUACUGGUGAGUCUGUCAGUGUGAUUAAACACACUGAUGCCGUCCCAGACCCCCGAGCUGUUAACCAGGACAAGAAGAACAUGCUGUUCUCCGGCACCAACAUCGCUGCAGGAAGAGCCACUGGUAUUGCUGUUGCAACUGGUGUCUCCACUGAGAUUGGUAAGAUUCGUGACCAGAUGGCUGCCACUGAGCAGGAGAAGACCCCUCUGCAGCAGAAACUGGACGAGUUUGGAGAGCAGCUCUCCAAGGUCAUCUCCCUCAUCUGUGUGGCUGUGUGGAUGAUCAACAUUGGCCAUUUCAAUGACCCCGUCCACGGAGGCUCCUGGAUCCGCGGUGCUGUCUACUAUUUCAAGAUUGCUGUGGCUCUGGCUGUGGCUGCCAUCCCUGAAGGUCUGCCUGCUGUCAUCACCACCUGCCUGGCUCUGGGAACCCGUCGCAUGGCCAAGAAGAACGCCAUCGUUAGAAGCCUGCCCUCUGUGGAGACCCUGGGCUGCACCUCGGUCAUCUGCUCUGACAAGACCGGUACCCUCACCACCAACCAGAUGUGUGUAACUAAGAUGUUCAUCAUUGAUAAAGUCGAUGGUGACAAUGUUUCCCUCAGUCAGUUUGACAUCUCAGGCUCAAAGUACACCCCCGAGGGAGAAGUUACAAAGAAUGGCUCAUUGACGAAGUGCGGUCAGUAUGACGGACUGGUCGAGCUGGCUACCAUCUGUGCUCUUUGCAAUGACUCUUCCCUGGACUACAACGAGUCCAAGGGUAUUUAUGAAAAAGUGGGCGAGGCCACUGAAACAGCACUGUCCUGUUUGGUGGAGAAGAUGAACGUGUUCAACAGUGAAGUGCGUGGCCUGUCCAAGGUGGAAAGGGCAAAUGCUUGCUGUUCUGUGAUCAAGCAGCUGAUGAAGAAGGAGUUCACCCUGGAGUUCUCCAGAGACAGAAAGUCCAUGUCAGUUUACUGCUGUCCUGCCAAAUCCGCCAAAGCCCCUGUGGGAAACAAGAUGUUUAUCAAAGGUGCUCCAGAAGGUGUCAUUGAUCGUUGCACGUACGUCCGUGUGGGCACCACCCGUGUACCUCUGACUGACCCGAUCAGAGACCACAUCAUGUCAGUCAUCAAGGAGUGGGGCACUGGACGUGACACCCUCCGCUGUCUGGCACUGGCCACCCGCGACUCACCUCUAAGGAAGGAGGAGAUGAACCUGGUGGACGCCACCAAGUUUGUAGACUAUGAGACUGAUUUGACCUUUGUGGGCUGCGUUGGCAUGCUGGACCCUCCCCGUAAGGAAGUCAUGGGUUCCAUCGAGCUGUGCAGGGCUGCUGGCAUCCGUGUCAUCAUGAUCACUGGUGACAACAAAGGCACAGCUGUGGCCAUCUGCCGUCGUAUUGGCAUCUUCACUGAGGAUGAGGAUGUCACUAACAAGGCCUUCACCGGUCGUGAGUUUGAUGACCUCGCUCUACACGAUCAAAAGGUCGCCGUCAGAAAGGCCUGCUGCUUCGCCAGAGUGGAGCCGUCCCACAAGUCUAAGAUCGUUGAAUUACUGCAAGGCUUUGAUGAGAUUACCGCCAUGACUGGUGACGGAGUGAACGAUGCCCCCGCCUUGAAGAAGGCGGAGAUUGGCAUCGCCAUGGGCUCUGGCACUGCCGUUGCCAAGUCUGCCUCUGAGAUGGUCCUGGCUGACGACAACUUCUCCUCCAUUGUGUCCGCUGUUGAGGAGGGCAGAGCCAUUUACAACAACAUGAAGCAGUUCAUCCGCUACCUCAUCUCCUCCAAUGUAGGCGAGGUCGUCUGUAUCUUUCUGACCGCUGCCCUUGGUCUGCCUGAGGCUCUGAUCCCCGUCCAGCUGCUGUGGGUCAACCUUGUGACUGACGGUCUGCCUGCCACUGCGCUGGGCUUCAACCCCCCUGACCUAGACAUCAUGGGCAAAGCCCCCCGCUCCCCCAAAGAGCCCCUCAUCUCUGGCUGGCUCUUCUUCAGAUAUAUGGCCAUCGGAGGUUAUGUUGGUGCUGCAACUGUCGCAGCAGCUGCCUGGUGGUUCCUGUACUGUGAUGAAGGCCCAUCGGUUAGCUUCUACCAGCUGUCACACUUCAUGCAAUGCAGCGAGGACAAUGAGGACUUUGCUGGCAUUCACUGCGAGGUGUUUGAGGCUUCUCCCCCAAUGACCAUGGCUCUGUCUGUGCUGGUCACCAUUGAGAUGUGCAACGCUCUGAACAGCUUGUCUGAGAACCAGUCCCUGGUGCGCAUGCCCCCCUGGAGCAACCUCUGGCUGGUGGGCGCCAUGACCCUCUCCAUGUCCCUUCACUUCAUGAUCAUCUACGUCGACCCCCUGCCCAUGAUCUUCAAGCUCACUCACUUGAACUUAGAGCAGUGGAUGAUGGUCCUGAAGCUCUCCUUCCCAGUCAUCCUCAUUGAUGAGUUUCUCAAGUUUGUGGCUCGCACAUAUCCGGAGGUUUUAAUGAUCUCCUACCCUCUGUCCUCUGUUCUCUGAUGACAUUUAUCUAACUUUGCUCUCCUUGGAUGCUCUUUUUCACCAUUCCUUCUCUGACAAUCCAGUCUAAACCUGUUUCCCCCUCCUCCAUACCCUUGUAACAAACCAAGGGAAAGUUUAGAGGCAAAGUGCGACAGAGAGCGGCUGAAGCAGAGAAAGCUGAGACACAGAGGAUGGAGAGAAAAGGCUGAGCUCCCACUGAAAGAGAGCCUGCCAACAGUCACCCGAUGUGAUCAAAACAUCUAGUGGCAUGAAUACAAAAGAAAACACAUAAGCCAUCUGAAAAUACACCAGAGGAAAGCUGCAAAAUAUUUUUUUCUGUGUAUGUACUGAAGUUAAUAUAUAGGUGAGUUAUUAAAACUAUUCUGUUGAUUCUAUUCUUAAAGAAUAAAGAUAUGUAUUAAAGAAAA
Molecule: RNA transcript, 3689 nt
Organism: Sander lucioperca (pikeperch)
Lineage: Eukaryota; Metazoa; Chordata; Actinopteri; Perciformes; Percidae
Gene: atp2a1
Gene name: ATPase sarcoplasmic/endoplasmic reticulum Ca2+ transporting 1
Exons: 26
Source: RefSeq, a predicted model, not a curated record